GAAUAAAUAAGUAAAAUAGGUGUCGGCUGUAAUCCAAGAAUUAUAAGCUGGUGAAAAGGAAAGUUGGGUGUGAAUCCCACGCGGUCCCGCCGCUGUAAGAGAAGAGUUCCUCUAAGAAUGCCACCAUUAAGUUGGGAAGGCAGGAGGUAAUGUUGAUGCUCGAGCCAGAAGACCUGCCUGUUUUAAUAACGUUUA
Molecule: non-coding RNA, 195 nt
Filed under: Acetobacterium bakii
Lineage: Bacteria; Bacillati; Bacillota; Clostridia; Eubacteriales; Eubacteriaceae
Source: RNAcentral